CCUUAGAGUAGAGGAAGUUUGUGGGUUUUGUGUUCAAGGCUCAUUUUCUUGAGUCUUUGAACACCUAAUAAUCUUACAUU
This is a small nucleolar RNA of Quercus robur (English oak), 80 nucleotides long. RefSeq annotates it as small nucleolar RNA SNORA17. The transcript has a single exon. Lineage: Eukaryota; Viridiplantae; Streptophyta; Magnoliopsida; Fagales; Fagaceae. The record is from RefSeq and is a predicted model, not a curated record.